AACGCUAGCUACAGGCUUAACACAUGCAAGUCGAGGGGAAACGAUAUUGGAAGCUUGCUUCCGAUAGGCGUCGACCGGCGCACGGGUGAGUAACGCGUAUCCAACCUGCCCACCACUUGGGGAUAACCUUGCGAAAGUAAGACUAAUACCCAAUGACGUCUCUAGAAGACAUCUGAAAGAGAUUAAAGAUUUAUCGGUGAUGGAUGGGGAUGCGUCUGAUUAGCUUGUUGGCGGGGUAACGGCCCACCAAGGCGACGAUCAGUAGGGGUUCUGAGAGGAAGGUCCCCCACAUUGGAACUGAGACACGGUCCAAACUCCUACGGGAGGCAGCAGUGAGGAAUAUUGGUCAAUAGGCGAGAGCCUGAACCAGCCAAGUAGCGUGCAGGAUGACGGCCCUAUGGGUUGUAAACUGCUUUUAUAAGGGAAUAAAGUGAGCCUCGUGAGGCUUUUUGCAUGUACCUUAUGAAUAAGGACCGGCUAAUUCCGUGCCAGCAGCCGCGGUAAUACGGAAGGUCCGGGCGUUAUCCGGAUUUAUUGGGUUUAAAGGGAGCGUAGGUGGUUUGAUAAGUCAGCGGUGAAAGUUUGCAGCUUAACUGUAAAAAUGCCGUUGAAACUGUCGGACUUGAGUGUAAAUGAGGUAGGCGGAAUGCGUGGUGUAGCGGUGAAAUGCAUAGAUAUCACGAAGAACUCCGAUUG
RNAcentral lists this ribosomal RNA (696 nucleotides) under uncultured bacterium. RNAcentral's name for it is "bacterial SSU rRNA". It matches the Rfam family "Bacterial small subunit ribosomal RNA", at positions 32 to 715 of the family's 1533-position model. The record is from RNAcentral.